RNAcentral lists this ribosomal RNA (403 nucleotides) under uncultured bacterium. RNAcentral describes it as "bacterial SSU rRNA". It matches the Rfam family "Bacterial small subunit ribosomal RNA", at positions 356 to 773 of the family's 1533-position model. The record is from RNAcentral.
GGGGGACAUUGCACAAUGGAGGAAACUCUGAUGCAGCAACGCCGCGUGAGGGAAGAAGGUCUUCGGAUUGUAAACCCUUGUCCUUGGUGACGAAACAAAUGACGGUAGCCAAGGAGGAAGCUCCGGCUAACUACGUGCCAGCAGCCGCGGUAAUACGUAGGGGGCUAGCGUUGUCCGGAAUUACUGGGCGUAAAGGGCGUGUAGGCGGCCGAGCAAGUCAAGUGUGAAAAGCCUCGGCUUAACCGAGGCAUUGCACAUGAAACUGCAUGGCUUGAGUGCAGGAGAGGGAAGUGGAAUUCCUAGUGUAGCGGUGAAAUGCGUAGAUAUUAGGAGGAACACCAGUGGCGAAGGCGACUUCCUGGACUGUAACUGACGCUGAGGCGCGAAAGCGUGGGUAGCAAAC